Molecule: ribosomal RNA, 497 nt
Filed under: uncultured bacterium
Lineage: Bacteria
Description: partial 16S ribosomal RNA
Rfam family: Bacterial small subunit ribosomal RNA
Source: RNAcentral
GAUGAACGCUGGCGGCGUGCCUAAUACAUGCAAGUCGAGCGAACAGACGAGGAGCUUGCUCCUCUGACGUUAGCGGCGGACGGGUGAGUAACACGUGGAUAACCUACCUAUAAGACUGGGAUAACUUCGGGAAACCGGAGCUAAUACCGGAUAAUAUAUUGAACCGCAUGGUUCAAUAGUGAAAGACGGUUUUGCUGUCACUUAUAGAUGGAUCCGCGCCGCAUUAGCUAGUUGGUAAGGUAACGGCUUACCAAGGCAACGAUGCGUAGCCGACCUGAGAGGGUGAUCGGCCACACUGGAACUGAGACACGGUCCAGACUCCUACGGGAGGCAGCAGUAAGGAAUCUUCCGCAAAGGGCGAAAGCCUGACGGAGCAACGCCGCGUGAGUGAUGAAGGUCUUCGGAUCGUAAAACUCUGUUAUUAGGGAAGAACAAAUGUGUAAGUAACUAUGCACGUCUUGACGGUACCUAAUCAGAAAGCCACGGCUAACUACGUG